Molecule: ribosomal RNA, 446 nt
Filed under: uncultured bacterium
Lineage: Bacteria
Description: partial 16S ribosomal RNA
Rfam family: Bacterial small subunit ribosomal RNA
Source: RNAcentral
CCUACGGGUGGCAGCAGUCGAGAAUCAUUCACAAUGGGGGAAACCCUGAUGGUGCGACGCCGCGUGGGGGAAUGAAGGUCUUCGGAUUGUAAACCCCUGUCAUGUGGGAGCAAAUUAAAAAGAUAGUACCACAAGAGGACGAGACGGCUAACUCUGUGCCAGCAGCAGCGGUAAUACAGAGAUCUCAAGCGUUGUUCGGAACCACUGGGCGUAAAGCGUGCGUAGGCAGUUUCGUAAGUCGUGUGUGAAAGGCGCGGGCUCAACCCGCGGACGGCACAUGAUACUGCGAGACUAGAGUAAGGGAGGGGGAACCGGAAUUCUCGGUGUAGCAGUGAAAUGCGUAGAUAUCGAGAGGAACACUCGUGGCGAAGGCGGGUUCCUGGACAUUAACUGACGCUGAGGCACGAAGGCCAGGGGAGCGAAAGGGAUGAGAUACCCUAGUAGUC